GGGCUGUUGGCGCAGUUGGCAGCGCGUCUCUAUGGCAUAGAGAAGGUCGCGAGUUCAAAUCUCGCACAGUCCACCA
Molecule: transfer RNA, 76 nt
Filed under: bacterium
Lineage: Bacteria
Description: tRNA-Ala
Rfam family: tRNA
About the family: Transfer RNA (tRNA) molecules are approximately 80 nucleotides in length. Their secondary structure includes four short double-helical elements and three loops (D, anti-codon, and T loops).
Source: RNAcentral